UACGUAGGGUCCAAGCGUUGUCCGGAUUUGUUGGGCGUAAAGAGCUCGUAGGCGGUUCGGUAAGUCGGAUGUGAAAACUCAGGGCUCAACCCCGAGACGCCAUCCGAUACUGCUGUGACUUGAAUCUGGUAGGGGAGAACGGAAUUCCUGGUGUAGCGGUGAAAUGCGCAGAUAUCAGGAGGAACACCGGCGGCGAAGGCGGUGCUCUAGGCCAGUAUUGACGCUGAGGAGCGAAAGCGUGGGUAGCAAACAGG
RNAcentral lists this ribosomal RNA (254 nucleotides) under uncultured bacterium. RNAcentral's name for it is "partial 16S ribosomal RNA". It matches the Rfam family "Bacterial small subunit ribosomal RNA", at positions 524 to 776 of the family's 1533-position model. The record is from RNAcentral.